UGGGGAAUCUUGCGCAAUGGGGGAAACCCUGACGCAGCAACGCCGCGUGGGUGAUGAAGGCCUUCGGGUCGUAAAGCCCUGUCAGGUGGGAAGAAACUUGUGGAUGUUAAUACCAUCCAUGCUUGACGGUACCACCGGAGGAAGCACCGGCUAACUCCGUGCCAGCAGCCGCGGUAAUACGGAGGGUGCAAGCGUUGUUCGGAAUUAUUGGGCGUAAAGCGCGUGUAGGUGGUCGUGUAAGUCAGAUGUGAAAAUCUAAAGCUUAACUUUGGACCUGCGUUUGAAACUGUCGGUCUUGAGUACGGGAGAGGAAAGUGGAAUUCCUGGUGUAGCGGUGAAAUGCGUAGAUAUCAGGAGGAACACCGGUGGCGAAGGCGGCUUUCUAGCCCGAUACUGACGCUGAGACACGAAGGCUAGGGGAGCAAACAGGAUUAGAUACCCUGGUAGUCCUAGCGGUAAACGUUGGGCACUAGGUGUUGUCCCUUAACCGGGGCAGUGCCGCAGCUAACGCAUUAAGUGCCCCGCCUGGGGAGUACGACCGCAAGGUUG
RNAcentral lists this ribosomal RNA (549 nucleotides) under uncultured bacterium. RNAcentral describes it as "bacterial SSU rRNA". It matches the Rfam family "Bacterial small subunit ribosomal RNA", at positions 355 to 896 of the family's 1533-position model. The record is from RNAcentral.